UUUGACCUCAAAUCAGGUAGGAGUACCCGCUGAACUUAAGCAUAUCAAUAAGCGGAGGAA
RNAcentral lists this ribosomal RNA (60 nucleotides) under Aspergillus niger. RNAcentral's name for it is "partial 28S ribosomal RNA". It matches the Rfam family "Eukaryotic large subunit ribosomal RNA", at positions 1 to 58 of the family's 3401-position model. The record is from RNAcentral. Lineage: Eukaryota; Fungi; Ascomycota; Eurotiomycetes; Eurotiales; Aspergillaceae.